Molecule: ribosomal RNA, 169 nt
Filed under: Segatella copri
Lineage: Bacteria; Pseudomonadati; Bacteroidota; Bacteroidia; Bacteroidales; Prevotellaceae
Description: partial 16S ribosomal RNA
Rfam family: Bacterial small subunit ribosomal RNA
Source: RNAcentral
ACAAUGGAGAGUUUGAUCCUGGCUCAGGAUGAACGCUAGCUGCAGGCUUAACACAUGCAAGUCGAGGGGAAACGACAUCGAAAGCUUGCUUUUGAUGGGCGUCGACCGGCGCACGGGUGAGUAACGCGUAUCCAACCUGCCCACCACUUGGGGAUAACCUUGCGAAAGU